CAACGAGUCGCAAGCCGGUGACGGCAAGCUAAUCUCUUAAAGCCAGUCUCAGUUCGGAUUGUAGGCUGCAACUCGCCUACAUGAAGUCGGAAUCGCUAGUAAUCGCGGAUCAGCACGCCGCGGUGAAUACGUUCCCGGGCCUUGUACACACCGCCCGUCACACCACGAGAGUUUGUAACACCCGAAGUCGGUGAGGUAACCUUUUAGGAGCCAGCCCGCCUAAGGUGGGAUAGAUGAUUGGGGUGAAGUCGUAACAAGGUAAC
RNAcentral lists this ribosomal RNA (263 nucleotides) under uncultured bacterium. RNAcentral's name for it is "partial 16S ribosomal RNA". It matches the Rfam family "Bacterial small subunit ribosomal RNA", at positions 1240 to 1500 of the family's 1533-position model. The record is from RNAcentral.